Molecule: ribosomal RNA, 431 nt
Filed under: uncultured bacterium
Lineage: Bacteria
Description: bacterial SSU rRNA
Rfam family: Bacterial small subunit ribosomal RNA
Source: RNAcentral
AGGGAAUAGAUACCCGGGUAGUCCACGCCGUAAACUAUGGAUGCUAGCUGUUGGCCGUAUCGACCCGGUCAGUAGCGAAAGCUAAACGCGUUAAGCAUCCCGCCUGUGGAGUACGGUCGCAAGACUAAAACAUAAAGGAAUUGACGGGGACCCGCACAAGCGGUGGAGCGUGUUGUUUAAAUUCGAUGCUAAGCGAAGAACCUUACCCAGGUUUGACAUCUUCGGAAUUACUACGAAAGUAGUGAGUGCCUUCGGGAACCGAAUGACAGGUGAUGCAUGGCCGUCGUCAGCUCGUGUCGUGAGAUGUUUGGUUGAGUCCAUCAACGAGCGCAACCCUUAUGAAUAGUUGUAUUUUCUAUUCAGACUGCCUCGGUAACGGGGUAGGAAGGAGGGGAUGAGGUCAGGUCAGUAUUUCCCUUACAUCUGGUGCU